CUCACUCUUUAGGUCCACGCUGCUUUUAUGAGCUGUAACACUCACCGCGAAGAUCUGCAGCUUCACUCCUGAGCCCAGCGAGACCACGAGCCCACCGGGAGGAACAAACAACUCCAGACGCGCUGCCUUAAGAGCUGUAACACUUGCCGUGAAGGUCUGCAGCUUCACUCCUGAGCCAGCGAGACCACGAACCCACCAGAAGGAAGAAACUCCGAACACAUCUCAACAUCAGAACGGACAGACUCCAGACGCACCACCUUAAGAGCUGUAACACUCACCGCGAGGUUCCGCGGCUUCAUUCUUGAAGUCAGUAAGACCAAGAACCCACCAAUUCCGGACACAGUAGCAUUUGGGAAUAAUAAGAAUUGUAGCUGGGCAUGGUGGUACACGCCUGUAGACCCCUAGCAGCUGCCAUCAUCCUCACCAUCCGCAUAUUAUUGAUAUAUUAACUCUUUGAUGGCAACCAUAGCUUAUCCCCCUUAUCUCCCUAUGCCCUACAGCAGGGCAGUGGAAUGGUUAAGAGGCUUUGAAGUCUAAGAGUGCUGGCUUAAAACCCUAAUUUGUCAUUUUGGAUGUGUGGCUUUGGACACUUGGGGCAGGUCACCUAUGUUCUUCAAGCCCUGUAUCCUUAUCUGUCAGAUGAUGAUUUUUUUUUUUUUAGACGAAGUCUCACUCUCUUGCCCGGGCUGGAGUGCAGUGGCAUGAUCUCGGCUUACUGCAAGCUCCACCUCCCGGGUUGACGCCAUUCUCCUGCCUCAGCUUCCUGAGUAGCUGGGACUACAGGCUCCUGCCACCACCCGUGGCUAAUUUUUUUGUAUUUUUAGUAGAGACAGGGUUUCACCAUGUUAGCCAGGAUGGUCUCGAUCUCCUGACCUCGUGAUCUGCCCGCCCCAGCCUCCCAAAGUAUCAGAUGAUUUUAACAACUAUGCUUCCAUGACUUGCUGGGCUAGAUGAUAUGACUGUAAAAUGCCUAACCCAUGGUUUAGCAUCAAGUAAGCAAAUUGUAAAUGGUAGCACUGCUCUGCCUAUGACUAUUUAGUCUUGUGCUUUAAACUCAAAUAUUUGUUGGCCUACUGAAGUCACCACACAGAGAAAGAUGCUUUUCAUUCUCAGUAAAGAACUUUGGGAGAUAACUGGGGCAGGCAGCAAGAGAACAGAUGUCAUAUGUCUAGCAUCAGCAAACUCAUCAGAACUGAUGGGCAGCUCACUUUGCUUAGAACCUGCACCAGCAUACACACGGGGCUGCUUCCCAGUCACACUGCUCCUGGGAAGGUAGGGGGGCUGCUGUUCUGCAAUUAGCGCGGUUCUUUACCUCCUAUUACCGAACUGCCAGAGUUCAUUUGUGUUCAGUUAGGUAGAUGACCAAUUCUUGUUCAUUCCUAUUUUCUUUUGCUCACUAAUGUGUUUAACGUUCACUAACCUACCAAAUGUGAUUUAUUAGCGACUUUUUCUUUGAAGAUGGAGUGGAGGAAUCCUAGCGCUUUCUGCAACAUGCUACUGCUGUUAUGGAACAGUGCAGAUAUGGAAGUGCAUCAGCCGGGGAUGGGGAGAGGCUAGGGCAGUACAUGUGAAUGGAGAGGUAGCCCCACCAGUGUGUUUUCUGAAAUACAGUCCCGCAGAGGGCAGUCUUGGGAAAUUACUGUUCUCACACACUCUUCUUGACCCUACCCCUCCAGCACCUCCCUUGCUAUCCAAGGGUUGGGAUUUUUAAAAAGAAAAACAAAUUUUAAAAAAAGCAGUGUGAAUCUUUUGCCAUCUUGUAAGGGUGAAAAGCCCCCUACCAAGUCGGGAUGAACAUUCAUGCGUGUGCUUGAGGGCUUGGGAAAAAGACAGGGCUUGGCCCCACAGUGCAGGUAGGCCCAGUGAUCCUAUAAUAGGGGCCAGGAGAUGGGAGGUCCCCUGUGGGCAGGAGUUCAAGUAUGUGGUAUUAUAUGACUGGUGCUUGAUGAACCCAGGGAGAGGGCACCAAAAACAAUGGUAUUUAAUUGUAAAAUCUCCACCCCCUGAGGAUAUGUUUUCAGGUCUGGGUGACUAAUUAGACUGGGAAACAAGGGCAGGAACGAUGGCCCUGUGCUUGCUCUGCCCGCUGCCUCUGUGGAUGUGUGGGCUGCUGGCUUCAGUCCUGCUUUUCUUUCUGAUGGUAUUGUUUAUGCUAUGUGUUUUUGCAGGAGGCCUGAGGUGGGCUGGGUUCUCCUCCUAUGGCAGGGCUUCACUCUCCUCCUCCUUCUCUGUUGGGGCUUCACUGUCCCUGGGAUAAGAAUAACAAUGCCAAGGUUUUCAUUCUUGAAAGGAGCAAUUAAGCGUCUCACCCCCUCCUCAUUUUAGAUGGGAACUGUGAGGGUCCCGUCAUUUACCCAGGGUCCCUGUUGAGGAUCUUGUCCUCAUUAGAUGACUUCUUGUGCAGCUUCCAUGCGUGAUUCUUUACUCUUGUGGCACUGAGAGGUUUGUACAUGUCUUUAAGCCAGAGCGGCUUUCUGAAUGAAAAAAGUCCAUCCUAGAAGAUAGAAAGGGAAAUAUUAAUUUUGCAUGUCCUCUGCUUUCCCUGGUCACAGCAAUGAAUCCUCCAAUGUACCUGACUCUCCCUUUGCGAAGAGCAUCUCCGUGGCAGAAAUCUGAAAAUGCCCCUGGGGAGACACAUGCACAAGACAGUGAGUGAUGCAGCCGUUUCCCACGUAUCUCACAAUGUACUUCUCUGGUCUUAUUAGAACUAAAUGAGUAUCUCAGUCCAUAAUCACAGGGAGAAGAACCACCACAGACCACAUACCUGGGGUCUUGAAAAUAAUUCCAUGCAUGUGGGACUUUCAGAAGCUCUCCAUGUCUGUCCAGAAGGGCCCCACAAUAUACUGGGGGGACUUUGUAUGUGGCUCAGCAUGGAGCAGGGGCAGGAUGUUCAUUCCCACUCAUCCCCUUGGCCAAGUGCCCUUGUGCAGUGAACAAACUGCACAACCAUGCUGGGCAGAAGCAUUUUAUAUCAGUCCCCUUCGGACUUAGUCUCACAGGCAUCAUUUGAUGGGGGGUGGGAGAUGAAGUGGUUCUUCCUUUUCUAGAUACUUUAUUCUAUAAGUUGGAUCACCUCAAGCAAAUGCCUGAGUGCAGCUAGCCAAGUUCUCUAUCUCACAGUCUUCAUACAGCUGGCUGUCGCUGAUGAGUGAGUGAGCUGCGAAAUCAGCUUAAACCACAACAUGUUAUUUUUGAAUUUGAAUAAAAUAGGAAAAGGCAGAGUGCAUUGUGUGACCAUGGGGUAAGACACUCUCCCUUUCUCCUUCUCAGUUUUCCUGUCAUAAAAGGACAAACUACUAUCUAAGUUCUCCGUAGUUAAAAUUCUUUUUUGUUGUUUUUUUUUAUUUGAGACAGUUUGGCUCGUUCCCCAGGCUGGAGUGCAAUGGUGCUAUCUUGGCUCCCUGCAACCUGCGCCUCCUGGUUUCAAGCAGUUCUCCUGCCUCAGCCUCCCAAAUAGCUGGGAUUACAUGCCUGUGCCACCACACCCAGCUAAUUUAGUAUUUUUAGUAGAGAUGGGGUUUCACCAUGUUGGUCAGGUUGGUCACGAGCUCCUAACCUCAAGUGAUCCCAAAGUGCUGUGAUUACAGGCGUGAGCCAUCCUGCCUGGCCUUUCUGGUUAAAAUUCUGUGAGGUUUGUGUAAAAGGAAUAGAGUGGGGGCGCAAAAACCAGUAAGAUGAGAAAAUAGUGUUUCCUCAGUUCUAGUAUCCAGGGGAAAAAAAGAAAAGAGAAAAUACUGUUUCCUGCCACUUAAGAGGAAGGACUCACAUAUCCUACCUUCCAUCAGCCUUGAAGGAGACAAGUGCCCUCUCUCUCACACCCGGUGGCCUUCCCUUCCCCUUUCCCAGAGCCUCCAAGAAGGCCCCUGGCCUGGCCUGAUGCCCACCAUCAGCAGCAAUAGGCACCAAAACCUUUCUCCUUCCUAUCCCUCCCCACCUCCCAAAAGGGCUGGGGACAGCAGGUGUAUCCUUGUUAGUUCCAUCAUGAGACAGCACAUUCCUACAAUGUCGUACAGAUGUAAAUUCUCAAAUUAAUCUACAAAUUUAACGUAAUCCUAUUCAAAUCCCAAGAUAGUUUUUGGUGGUGGCUGUUUUUAAGACAGGGCCUCGCUGUGUUGCCCAGGCUAGAGUGCAGUGGUACGACCACAGCUCACUGCAUCCUCGACCUCCCAGGCUCAAGCGAUCCUCCCACUUCAGCCUCUGAAGUCUCUCAUAUGGUGUCCAAGAAAUGGUGACAAAUCUCACAAAGGGACUAGGCUCAGCACGGCUGGAAUAUUCAGGGAAGGUGUCAAGAAGAAAGAUGAACUUGUGUUGGCUUUUGAGAGAUGCAUAGGACUCCCACAGGCAGAGUGAAAUAAGGGCAUUUUAGAUGGACAAACACACAGACAGAAGCAGAAAUGUGGGUGGUGUGACUGGGGUAUAGUGAGGGGCUGCUGUGGCUGGAAUGGAGGGCUGCCACAAUAAUGGAAAUGGUAAAUGAGGCAAAUAAGGUUGGACUGGUGGCAUAGCGUCAAGGUUGCCAGCUUUAUUAAAUCACUCUUCCAAUAUGCUAGCACUGGCCUGUUGGGAAAAGUAAUAUAUCAUGUAAUCGAACAAAAGACAAACAGAGGCAAGCUCCAGGAAUGGGCACUGUAAACAGGACUUGCCCCAGAGUAGCCAGAUGUAGGCUUUAGAUAAGUUGAUGCAGGCUGAGCAUCUCUAAUCUGAGGGGGAAUGUCUCACAUGGUGUCCAAGAAAUGGUGACACAUCUCACAGAGGGUCUAGGCUCAGGAGGGCUAGAGUAUGAGACGUUCCCCCUCGCCUGUGAACUUAAAAAUGUGGCCAACAAUUUUUGUAAAAGAUGGCUACUCUGUAGUGCUUUAACUGGACCUAUUUAGACAAUGCCUUACACACUGGAGGACGAUACUGUGUAAAUCUAAUAAGUCUACAAGACAAUACUUCUGUCUUUUGGCUCUCUCCUUCCUCUCCAGGGUGAUGACAAAUCCGUGAGGGUGGAGAUUAUACCUCUCUCAUCAUUUCAGCACCAAGGAAAUAAAUUAGUGGCAGAGUAAGGGUGACUUGAUGAGUACAUCCAAUUGUUGACAUAGUUUUGGGUGGAGAAAUUUUGCUAUUAUAUCGACUUCUUAAAAUAGUCUAGUGGGAUUAACUUGGUUUCAAUUCACAGAGAUCUGGAAGCGAGGAUCUUUUAAAAAUCCUGAAAUAUACACUGCAAUAAAAGAACAAAGCAUACACCUCAGCCUUAAAUGACUGAAGAAGUAUGUCAAGUAGCAGCAGGUGGGAAAGUGGCUUUGGUUUUCAGUUUGUGAGCUCUGAAUCCACACAGAAACAGGACUGCAUUCUGACAACCUGAAUUAAUUAUUGUCCUUACCACAAUGAGGCAGAAAAGUAUAAUAAAAAUCAUUAGUAUUUCAGUCACAAUUAAUGCCAAGAUGAGUUUGUCAGUAUAGCCAUAUCCUGGAACUUAUUUUGUGAGCUAAAAAAAACAAAAAAACAAAACAAAAAAAAACACACCAGAAUGAGAGCUAACUAUUCAAAACCCCAGUAUUCCAGGUGAGUAGCUUACAGGUUCUUUUUUAUUUUUUUGAAAGAGGGUCUCACUCUGUUACCCAGGCUGGGGUACAGUGGUGCAAUCACCGUUCACUAGACUCGACCUCCCUGGGCUCAGGUGACCCUCCCACCUCAGCCUCCCAAGUAGCUGGGACUACAGGCACGUGUCAUCAACCCAGCUAAUUUUUUUAUUUUUUGUGGAGACAGGCUUUCACUAUGUUGGCCAAGCUGGUCUCAAACUCCUGACUUCAAGUAAUCCACCCACCUUGGCCUCCCAAAGUGCUGAGAUUACAGGCAUGAGCUACCACCCCUGGCCUACAGUUCAUCUUGUGCCCUAAUCUAUAUUUCACUCUCUACAUGAGCAAAGUGGGAGAUCACUGUCAUGACCAAAGUUACAUGGCCAAGAUAAGCUAUGGCCUGGGAGUCCCAGAUUCUUCUGUGUGGGCACUUUCCUGGGAUAUGCUAAAUGAUGGGAAAUCUGGGUCUCAUGUUUCUGUGUGGUCCUCACCUCAAGCGACUUCUCUUUCUGUUCACUCUGGGCUUCCGUGCUCUCAUUAAUGUAGUUCUGAGUCUUCCAUUGGUCCGUAUCCCAUUCUAUCUCAGAUGCCUUUACUUCCUGCUGCCCACUGAGAAGCUUCAUCAGGUGGCCUGUCCUGGAGAUGAGCUUGGCACAGGUCACUUGCACAUGGGCCCCAGAGCAGUCCAUCUUCAAGGUCCGGAUAACAUGAGAAAUGAGCCUUCUCACAUUGUUGGGGAUAAGGGACUGUAGCUGCUGGGUUAGCUGAAUUUCAAACUGAGCAAUGGGUAAUUGAAGCUUUUGGGCUCGGGGGACAGGUCAGUGCCCACGUUGUUGUAUUCCCAUUUUGUCUCAGUUUGUUUAACAGUUGGCCCUAAGUUGAAUGCAGUCCCAGCGGAAUCUGCCUCAGGAGGAUGAUUGUAGUUUGUGUUUUCAGAGAUGGUGACUUCUGGCAUGUUAGUGUUUUCCAUAAAAACAUUUUCUUCCAAGGCAUUUCUUGCAGUUGUGUCUUUUAUAUUAGUGGUUUCUAUAAAAUGUUCUGAAGGAGCAGAUACUUCCAGAAAAGGGUUUUCUUGAGGACUCAGGUCUCCUAAGGAUGAAAAAGCCCCUUGUGAAGGGGAAUUUAUGAGGCUCUUCGCUGCAGAGAACGGAGGCCUGUUUGCGAGCAUCAGUCUACUCAGAUAACUUUUCUUUCUGAACUUUGGACUCUUUUUGACCUUGGGUGUUCUGUGGGUCAUGCGGGAGCGAGUUUUGUGAAAGCGGUAUUUUUUUCUGGAAUGUGAAAUUGGUUUAGAAGCCUUCAUAUUUGUAACUCUAGCCUUUGCACUUUCUAAAAUGGAAAUAGUGUGUGUGUUGUCUUUCCAUCUGUCUCUCACCUGUGGUAGGGCUUUUGCAGGGCUGGAGGUAGAAGGCGCGCCCUUGGAGAAGGGUGUCAGCACAGAGACUGCUGCCUUAUGCUCUUGGGUGAACGAAGGCUUGGUGUAGAUGGCGUUUCCCGCUAACUUCUCAGGCCCCUGCUGUGUGUGAGGCUGUUCCAGCUCCCUUGGGGCUGGACUCCCGAGCCUUUUUUCUUCGGCAGCGUUCUCCACAGAUGCCUGGGCACCCUGUUCCCUCCUGAUGCUCUGCCUUCCCACCUCUUUGAAGUGCCUUUUCUGGAUGCUCCUUGGGCCCAUGAGGACUCUAUUCACUUUUUGCUGGUUUUGGCCUACAGUUUGAAUCUUUGCCAGGCUGUUUCCUGUGGUUGGCAGUUUAAUGAACGGUAGUAACAUUGAUUCCACAUCUAGGUUUACUGCUGAGAAAUAUGGCAAAUGUAACUUAGUGCACUGAUAACCUCACUCUCGUCAUUGGUGUCUAGCUGCUCACUCCCAAAGCCUGACAAGUUGAUGCCACUGCUGUCUGAGGGCUCCUCCGGCUCAACAGUCAGCUCAGUGCUUGUGUAAUUCUUCCGGGCUUGUAACGUCUUCAUGAAUGCUCCUUCUGGAUUCCCUACAGAUUCUUCUUCAGCUGUCAAAAAAGAGACUGCUUUGCUCAUGAAAGAUGAUGGGAUGGGAUGCAUCAGUCCAUAGCUGUACACCCCAGUCACACAGAGUAGGAGUCAGCAAACAUUUGAGUGCCAUUCAGAGAGGAGACACACACACCCAAUCCUAAACCUAUGAAAUGGCAACAACAAAAGGAGAAAAUAUAUCUUUUGAAAACACGGCCAUCUACUUGGAACAUUCCAUAGUGUGACAUAGAGUAACUCUGCUUAGGAUUAUUUCAUUGAUCCCCAGGGUCCAAUUGCCCAGUGCUCAGUCAAAGCCCAAGGUGGAAGACAAGUGCUUCCCUGAUGAGCUGAUGAGCUGGCCUCUCUGCAGACUGCUCCAUACCCUGUGCUGUCCUGCCUCAGAUGCAGAGAGAGCACAAGGCUCCCGCUCUCCUCGUCCUCGGUGCGCCUGUGUUCUUGCUACCAUCACAGCUGAAUGCAAUGAAAGGCGGUCCUCUGAGAGGAGCAGGGUGGAGAUGCUAAAGUGGAGGCCCCCUCCCAUUGCUGAUAGAUCCUCAUCUGGCAUGCGCUCCACCCUCCCCAUUCUCUGCUCCCACAUAUCGUAGCCCCAUCACAGAAGAUGCGACAUGGAAAAAAGCACUGUGUCCACCCUAGUUCUUAAAUUUGGGCAGGGAUUUGGGGUGUAUGUUAAGAGUUUUUCAAAUUUGCCAGAUUGCAUGCCUAUGUUGUUAAAUACACAGUGAAUCUCUGGUAUGAUAACAGUUUCUGGAUAAACAUUACUUGAGGUCCUAAAAUGCAGAAGGGAAAAAGCAACUUUUGUCAGAUGCCUACUUUGCUUUCAUUUCAUCUCUAAUAUUUUGGAUGGGGAAUCAGCCAAAGCUUCUGACUGCAUGAAGGUCAAGUGUGCCAGUGUGCAGCUGGGUUUCUUUUCCAGAAUUAAAAGUAUUUUGGGUGGUGGUGAGGGUCAGAGGAAGAAGUAAAGAUUGUGAGAAAGUGGAAGAAGCAUGGGCUUGGGGAGAACCCAGAAUUGGGGCCAGAAGACCUGGCACUAGGCUACAGCACUUAGCACCUCUGAUCUUGUUUUUCUUCAUCUGUAAAAGGAGGUUAACAAAGCUUUUCUGCCCACUUCUUGGGGAGAAGGGAAUAAUAUAAUUGGUAAAAAAAAAAAAAAAAAGUUUUGAAAAAUAAGCAACACUGACUUUAUGUAACCAAGCAUUAUUAAUUCUCCACCCCAUAUCACUGGUAGAUACCUGUAUUCAAGCUAUCUGGACAUGAAAGUAGUCACAUUUUAGAAGUCAUGAAGUUGAUGCUAAUAAACCUAAUCUACAGAAACACUCUUGAAAGCCCUUGAGCAUUUGUUCUGUGAACAGAAAGGUUUGAGAUUCAGAGCAAGUUCAGAGUUGGAUGGUCUAAGAAUGGAAAAGCCCUCCAUUCUAUUAGAAGAGCCAGGUAGCAAUUUCUGGUUAUGGAACCAGAAGCUCUCAGGCUUCAAAUAAAACAGCAUCACUUGUACUCUUAUAAAACUGUAAAAACAGAAAAACCGAAACCGUAUCUACAUCUGUCCUAUAAGGCAGAGAGUACUUGAGACCUCAUGAAUUUAAAACCACCUUACAAACUACUUUGCACUAUAUGAAGAAAUUAUCACUGUGGGCAAAGCAUCAAGCAGAGAGCACAGUACACAGUGUGUGGAUGUUAAUGUUAUUCUCUAGCCUUCCCAUUCCUUUGUCUUGGUCCUUUGUGCAUAUGGAACAGUUCUAUUAUUAAAUUUUGUAAUAGUAACUGAGAACCUGACUCUCAGCAAGGGAGUAGUUCAGAAAUUGAGGGAGUUUAACUCUGAAUGAGUAAAUAAAAAUAAAGCAAUUAUGUCAUUAGCUUAAAAUUUUAUCAUCAUUAAAAAUAAAAAGUUUAAAAACAAAUACUUAAUGUAACAAUUUAUCACCGCGCAAUUUGGACUCACGACAAUGUAUGGUGUUUGUCAGACAUGCACUGUUGCAAUGCAGCUUGACUGUCUUGCAGACAGCCUCAAUGCUGUUUUUAAGUUGGCAGAGGCAGCAGGCCAUAUGGCUAGGUAAGAUCCUAUAGAUGAAAACAGAGAGCAAUAAAUUAGCGGUAAAGCGGUUACUUGAGUAGGUAAAG
Molecule: long non-coding RNA, 9680 nt
Filed under: Homo sapiens (human)
Lineage: Eukaryota; Metazoa; Chordata; Mammalia; Primates; Hominidae
Description: non-protein coding lnc-RPRML-3:27
Source: RNAcentral